Molecule: long non-coding RNA, 1585 nt
Organism: Gasterosteus aculeatus aculeatus (three-spined stickleback)
Lineage: Eukaryota; Metazoa; Chordata; Actinopteri; Perciformes; Gasterosteidae
Source: Ensembl
AGGCUAAGAGCUAAGAAGGAGCUUCACCUCACCACCCAUCCUGCUCUACGGUGUGUAACCGCCGCCAAUCACACUGCCUGGAGCGCACAACUCGCAUGGAUUGAAUACGCCCAUAAUUCCCUGACCAGCACUGCCAGAGGUUUGUCUCAGCCGCCCCUGUUUCCCUCUCUAGAGGGUGACAUAGCUGUCCCAUCAGUUCAAAUGCACCUCCGCCGCUGCCAUAAGGUCUGGGGAUACACCCGCUCUGCCCUACUCCGCUCAGCUGAAAACAACCAGCGCAUUGCAAACCGCCACCGGACACCAGCUUCUGCAUACAAACCAGGGUGCAGGUCCUAAUGAAGUCUACCAAUCACUCCACCCAUUGAUGAUGGACAAAGACCAAGUCUACAGCACCAUAACACCCAACAAAAGGGAGGGACAGUCUACAUCCCCACUUUGAAGGAUCUCUGCAGCAGCAGCUAUUGCAUCAAUAUUAAAUGCCUGAGUGUUGAAAGAUAAAAUAAGUAUUUUGCAUUUGCUAAAUAAAGCUUGGGACAUACUUUCAUAAUUCCAUGUCAGCGGACAGCUUCACACUUGUACUAGUCGGUAUUUGGUUUUAUAUAAACUUCUUUGAAGACAAAUUGUGCACAGUCCUGGGUUUGCCUGUCAGGACACUCAUGGUCCAAUCACAGAGGGCGGAGGAAAGUCCCAGGUCUCUGAGCCCACUGACGAGCUUAGAGGCCACGAUGGUGCUGAUGCCAGCGGUCCUCAAUGAACAGCGUUUUGCCAUUUGUGUUCCUCCGGUCCAGGUGGAGGUUUGGGUGGAUGCUGAGAGCUUUGCUGGCGUCUGUGGAUGUGUUUGUCAUUCGGGCAGUGGGGUUUGCUCUUUUGGGGGACAGGGACUAUGGUGGUCUUUUUGGAGAAUGUGGGGGAAUACAGUGAAAUGUGUUGUGGAAUAUUUCAAUAAAAGCUCGGUAGAAGAGAAUGAUUUGUCUGAUAAAACAGAGUCUUGAUGAAUGUUUUGAAGCUUCUAUGAGAUCGAGUCGACCGCCCUCCCUUCUCAGGGCACAGCUGCAAACUAACAUUUUGUAUCAUGCUGCUCUUUGCACGUCCGGGUCAAAUACAGGACACUUGAGACACGGCUUUAGCACAAAACAAUGUUAUAACAUAUUUUUACCAUUACAAAUGUUAUAAAUAUCACUGAGCACAUCUGCCAGUUGUUAUGCACAAGCCACAAGAGCUCGGCCGAGGAUGCCUUCAGGUCCAGGUGCCUUUGGUGGCUUAAGAUUUACACACAUCCACCCUGAAUACUGCUGGUGACGCAACAAUGAUGAAGACUGUGGGUAAAACACUUCGUCAUGGCCUUUUAUUUGCUCUAAACUUGACUUACGUUUUAGGGCAGAAAGAAAACGUAAAGUUUGGGACCUCAGAAGAACGUUUUGUUUUAGAAUUGGUGCGUCUCAAUCUGCUAACAUGCUCAUCUUUCAUUGUGUCAUACACACUUAGUUUUUGUGUUGUAAGUGUCAAAUUGUCGGCCUUUUACAUUUAGAUUGUGUACUUUUCUUUUCUUCAAAUUCAGAAUAAAUGUUUUUUUUCUUUAUGUGAA